RNAcentral lists this ribosomal RNA (117 nucleotides) under Bacillus taeanensis. The record is from RNAcentral. Lineage: Bacteria; Bacillati; Bacillota; Bacilli; Caryophanales; Bacillaceae.
UCUGGUGGCGAUAGCGAAGAGGUCACACCCGUUCCCAUGCCGAACACGGAAGUUAAGCUCUUCAGCGCCGAUGGUAGUUGGGGGCUCUCCCCCUGUGAGAGUAGGACGCUGCCAGGC